ACGUGCGCCAUUGAUUUUAUGCAGUGCCCUGUAGGUUCUCUGCUGAACCUUCUCGCAUUCAUGUCUUUGCUUUAAUACAGUUGUUUUCAGAGUGUGAAAUGGAGACCAGCAGAAUCAACAUCACCUGGGAACUUUUAGAAAUACAAAUUCCUGGCCCUUACCGAAGACCCAAGCUACCUGGAUUACCACAGCUAGGAAUAAUGAAUGGGACUGAGGUUCCAUUUUGUUGGUUUUCAGAACUGAGAAAAAGAUUAAGAGAGGUGGCCGGGGGGCAUUUUUAUUACAUCACUAGAAGUAAAAUUCUUGGACUGGCAUGAGACAAGCCAGAAUAAAAGUGUUUGUCAAGAAUGUUUUCAUUAAUCAAGAAUGAAUGUUAGAGGUUAAAGACCAUCAGAUACCAUCCUAGUUCUGACCUUAAACCAUCCAGACUGGCAAUGCAGAGGUGUCAUUCCCAAGACCCACUGGGCAGCUUCCAGGAAACUAAAAUGUUUAGGUU
RNAcentral lists this non-coding RNA (496 nucleotides) under Loxodonta africana (African savanna elephant). RNAcentral's name for it is "Eukaryotic small subunit ribosomal RNA". It matches the Rfam family "Eukaryotic small subunit ribosomal RNA", at positions 624 to 1113 of the family's 1831-position model. The record is from Rfam by way of RNAcentral. Lineage: Eukaryota; Metazoa; Chordata; Mammalia; Proboscidea; Elephantidae.